This 66-nucleotide transfer RNA is filed under the name Podallea sp. YW-2016. RNAcentral's name for it is "tRNA-Phe". It matches the Rfam family "tRNA". Rfam says of the family: Transfer RNA (tRNA) molecules are approximately 80 nucleotides in length. Their secondary structure includes four short double-helical elements and three loops (D, anti-codon, and T loops). Further hydrogen bonds mediate the characteristic L-shaped molecular structure. tRNAs have two regions of fundamental functional importance: the anti-codon, which is responsible for specific mRNA codon recognition, and the 3' end, to which the tRNAs corresponding amino acid is attached (by aminoacyl-tRNA synthetases). tRNAs cope with the degeneracy of the genetic code in two manners: having more than one tRNA (with a specific anti-codon) for a particular amino acid; and 'wobble' base-pairing, i.e. permitting non-standard base-pairing at the 3rd anti-codon position. The record is from RNAcentral. Lineage: Eukaryota; Metazoa; Arthropoda; Insecta; Neuroptera; Berothidae.
AUUUAAAUAGCUUAAAUGUAGAGCAUGACAUUGAAGAUGUUAAAGUGAUUAAAAAAUCUUUAAAUA